RNAcentral lists this long non-coding RNA (2350 nucleotides) under Salvia miltiorrhiza (redroot sage). RNAcentral describes it as "long non-coding RNA (SMIL_LNC008175)". The record is from RNAcentral. Lineage: Eukaryota; Viridiplantae; Streptophyta; Magnoliopsida; Lamiales; Lamiaceae.
UAUGGUAGGCUAUUUAAAGAGCCCUUGGUCUGUGGCUGUAGAGAAGACGAAAAUUGCUUAGUGUUCUUCCUUUGUGUGGAGGUGCUACCGGUGAAGGUGUAAGGCUUGUUGGCCGAUUGUGGUGCCGGCGAGAGCAACGUCCCCUUUGUGAUUCUUCGUGGCUUAGUGUGUGCGUGAUCGAGAGGAAGAGAGCUGUACCUGAGCCGAGAAGAUCGACGCCCCUUGUUCCUCUCUUUGUGUGUUUUUCCUUGCAGGUUGUCGAGGCUGCUGCUACCUCGUUGCUGCGCCGCUGUGCAGCUGCUGUUUUGCGGCUUUGUAGCUGCGCUGUGGCUGCCCAAAGUCGAAGGAAGCCUUCAACAACGACGACGAGGGUCGAUACUCAACAGUGGUAUCAGAGCCACGGUUGACCUCGUCGUCGCAUUGGUAAGUCGGGGUCCUGACCUUAGGAUCCCGCUCUGGUAAAGCGGCUUAAACCUCUCUUGUUUUUCAAUUUCUAGUUGCUGCCAUCUGGUGCAGUUUAGGCUUGGUGCUUAUCUGCUGGUAGAUAUCUAGGAUUCGUGUGUCGAAUUCUGUUUUCUGAUUUAAUUAUUUUUUCGCUGUUACUAUUCACGUGAAUAGUGAUUUCGUGAAUAGUGUUUUUGGUCUCUUAUUUUUACUUCCGCUGUAAACUCUGUGGUUGUCAAUCUUUGUGAGUCUUUGUGAUUAUUUGCUUCGUGUUGCGAUGUCUUCUUUGGCAAAUUAUGGUUUAGCUCCUUUUAAUGGUAAAACGGACUUCGGUUUUUGGCAGCAGAAAAUGGAAUGUAUUUUAAUUCAACAAAAUGUUUAUCAAGUAAUUGAUGAUUCGUAUGAUGAAGAUGUUGAUGAGAAAAAGAAAACUCAAUUGAAUCGUCUUGCCUUGUCUGCUAUUGUUCUCAACUUGUCUGAGUGUGUUCUUAGAAAAGUAGGGAGAAUGACUUCUGCUAAAGAACUAUGGUCUAAGUUAGAGGAGUUGUACACUGGAACCUCGUUGCCGUCUAAGAUAUUUUUGAUUGAAAGGUUUUUCCGUUUCAAACUUGAUUUGAAUAAGAAAAUUGAUGAAAAUGUUGAUGAAUUCACUAAGUUAGUUCAAGAUAUAAAACUGACGGGUGAUAAACAUAUUGAUGAGUAUGCUCCGUAUGCUCUUUUAAAUGCUAUUCCUGACUCUUACAGUGAUGUUAAAUCUGCUAUUAAGUAUGGUAGAGAUAAUGUGACGCUUGACACUGUUGUGAGUGCUUUAAAGAAUAAGGAAUUAGAUUUAAAUUCUAAUAUUUGUGUUCAAGAACCGGACAAAGUCAUGCAUGUUAGGGGUGAAAAGAGAUUUAAUGAUAAGUCUAAUCAUAGAUAUAAGCCUAGGAAGUGCUAUAACUGUGGUGAAACUGGUCACUAUAUUAAGGAUUGUCCUCACCCUAAGAAAAAACAAGAUGUAGAGCAUGCUAAUGUAAUUGGUAAUGAAACCAAUAGUGAUGUGUUCUAAGGUGGAGCUCUUUCUUAAUGCCUUAGUGUUGUUCUUUGUGAUUGUUUAGGCUUUGUGGCUUUGUGAGACUUCGUUGGUUAGUGCCUUAAUGACUAUGUGAGUCUUUGUGGCUUAGUGUCUUUGUGAUUGAUUAGUAGCUUUGUGUCUAUGUGGCUUUGUGAGUUUUACUUUGUGAUGACCGUUUGUGUCGCAUGUUAUCUUCGUGAUCAUGUGUACUUUGUGAUCUGUGCUAGCUCUUUGUGGCCCUUUGUGCUAGACUAACUUUGUGUUAGUGUGCUUCGUGCUUGGUGGUUGUCUUUCUCUUGUUUGUGUUUUGCAGGAAUUGACUUGGUUAGUUUACCCGUUGACCUUUGUGGUCUUGUGUUUCCCUGUUAUUUCUUUGUGAUUUAACAGGGGGCUCGGCGAUGAUGAUUAUGGUACAGCUUCCUCUUUGAUGCACACAAUACCGUGAUUGGGCCAAAGGUGGAGAUGUUGUUAGUUGGCCCAAAUUUGGCCCAACAAGCCCAUGCCCUAUCCUCUUUAUUUUGGCAGCCCUCCCAUUUCCCCCCUUCCAGUCGAAAAUUAGUGCCCUUUUUGGGGCUGUGACCCCUGCGCUUCUUCUCCCCCAUGAACCUCUUCACCUUCCUUCUCUAGAUCCUUCUAUGGUAGGCUAUUUAAAGAGCCCUUGGUCUGUGGCUGUAGAGAAGACGAAAAUUGCUUAGUGUUCUUCCUUUGUGUGGAGGUGCUACCGGUGAAGGUGUAAGGCUUGUUGGCCGAUUGUGGUGCCGGCGAGAGCAACGUCCCCUUUGUGAUUCUUCGUGGCUUAGUGUGUGCGUGAUCGAGAGGAAGAGAGCUGUACCUGAGCCGAGAAGAUCGACG